UCUUAUUUUCGUAUUUAAGUAUUAUUUCCAUCAGCUCUUUUUCGGUAGAGUAUCAUCUGCCCUAUUUUGAGGUUAGCCUUUCGCAGAGGUGUAACUGCCGUCUACUGACUGCCGCAUGGAUGGUCUGAUCAGCUUCCUGAAAUUACAUGCUUCGAUGGCUCUUAAAGGAAGGAGAAGGCUGUAUGGACGCCUGCAUGCACACACUGAGGAGGAGGAGGAGGAUGUUAUUCAGUCAGGCUCUCCCUCACUGUGCCGGUGGCUUACACGGAUUUAACUCGGCAGAUCUGCGGCUGGGAGGUGAAAGCAUGCCCCCUCUUGCUGUGCAGAAAAUGGGCUUCAUCAAGCAUUGGCAGUCUGUAUCUGUGGAAGCCCCUGGAAUGGAUCGCAAAUCUCUUACAGGGAAGUGCUGUCAGCAGGAUUUCCAAAUCAAAUUAGAAAACCUCCAUGGAGGAGGGCAUUUAAAUAACCAUCUCUGUUGGUCCCUUAGGAUGUGCUUGUCUGUGAAAGCUUUCAAAUGGCACAGUCCUUCGAAAGCAUUCUCCAUUCUGCAUGGAAAGCUGCACGAUCUGGGACCAUGUUAUACACUGUCCUGCAUGAGCCUGGUGGAGGGUUGUUUUGAGGAGAGUGGCUUCUAAACUGCUGCUUUUGAAGAUUACACAGAGACCUACUCUAGCUGUAUUGCACCAGUACCUUUCUGGAGCUACUAAAUUGCAAAUGCAAGGAAUGACUAGAUAAAGCCCCUGAGGCUGCUGGACACCUGUGGUCCAUACCCUGCAUGGAAGCUGAGCUCAUUCACAGGGGCUUCUCUUGCCACACCUCAACCAUGCAGCAUCCAGGGCUUCCCUCUGCUCUGGUUCUUUCCCCAACUUACCCACUGCCUCUUCCAAGUCCUGCAUCAGUCUGUCCUCACAAGAAGAGCUGUCCUGAAGUAGGUCUUUCUCCUUAUGUGUGGGACCUUCUGAUGCUCAGCAAUGACAAUGGAGUACCAGACUUCUUCCCAGGAUAGCAAUGGAUGUUGAGAGCACAUACAAUAGAGGCUCCUACAAGCAAGUAUCUUAAGAACAGGAUGAGGAGGUAGGACAGAUGAGUCAGACUGAGCACACACUUUGUUCUUGGGAACUUGUACCAUUCUUAAUGUGUCUUCUAACUUUCUGGAGCCAGUGUCUAUACUUUUGAUUUGUCUGAACUGAAUCAAGGAGCUGGAUGAGCUGGUAUAGAAUCACAGAAUUGUAGGGGUUGGAAAGGACCUCAAGAGAUCAUUGGGUCCAACCCCCCUGCCAAAGCAGGUUCCCUAGAGCAGGUUGCCCAGGUAGGUGUCCAGAUGGGCCUUGAAUAUGUCCAGAGAAGGAGACUCCACAACCUCCCUGGGCACAGGUGGUCAUUCUCAGAAGGAAGAGGCAGUCGUGUUCAAGCUUUCCCUGACCUGAAUUCCUGGUUACAAGGCAAAGCAGUUUCUUAACUGAAAGGAAAUCUGUCUCUUCGUAUUGCAUGUAGAUAAAAUUGCUGACUCUUCAUAGGAAAAAAGAUGUGUAAACCGUCCUGAGAGGCUUACAUCUCCAUUUUCAGGUCUGCCUCACAUCCUAAGGGAGGACAUCCUUGUGCCAGAGCCUGACCUGAUUUAUGCUAGCUUAAAAUCUUACACAGCACAGUCCUCUCAAUGUAUCUGGGCAGAUAGCUUGACACCAGCCUGCGUAGCAGUGGCUAAACAAAAGCUAGUGAUCUGUGGAGAACUCGUCUGAGGGAAAUAACAUGUCUUUUUUGAAUAUUUUAAAGGCAGAGUCUCCUGGUUUGCAGUUCUGCACAGGUUUAUGCUGUACACUGAACUAAAGUCCUUCAUCAGCCUCCAGCUAUUUCCUUCACAAGAAAAUUGACUGCUGGGAGCAUUUUUUUUGCCUGUUGCUCCAGGUGAGAUGAUUGUUGACUUCUGUGGCUCGCUGGCUGAAAAACCUUCAGAAAGCAAAUCUUUAUGGACAUCAAGAUUACUAGCAAUGUGAAGAGAGACAAAAUGAGAUAGAUUUUAUCCUUUUUGUACAUCUCACCUGGGAAUAUUUCUUCCCAUCUGUAGUGGAUUUACAUGGCAAGGUUUUGGUAGCAGGGACCAUAGGGGUGGCUUCUGCGAGAAGAAUCCAGAAGCUGCCCCAUGUUAGGUAAGGGCCCCGCCGCUGGCCAGAGCUGGGCCAA
This is a long non-coding RNA of Cygnus olor (mute swan), 2181 nucleotides long. RefSeq lists it as uncharacterized. The record is from RefSeq and is a predicted model, not a curated record. The transcript has 4 exons. Lineage: Eukaryota; Metazoa; Chordata; Aves; Anseriformes; Anatidae.